Molecule: ribosomal RNA, 457 nt
Filed under: uncultured bacterium
Lineage: Bacteria
Description: bacterial SSU rRNA
Rfam family: Bacterial small subunit ribosomal RNA
Source: RNAcentral
GACGAACGCUGGCGGCGUGCUUAACACAUGCAAGUCGAACGGUAAGGCCCUUCGGGUACACGAGUGGCGAACGGGUGAGUAACACGUGGGUGAUCUGCCCUGCACUUCGGGAUAAGCCUGGGAAACUGGGUCUAAUACCGGAUAGGACCAUGGACUUCACGGUUUGUGGUGGAAAGCUUUUGCGGAGUGGGAUGGGCCCGCGGCCUAUCAGCUUGUUGGUGGGGUAAUGGCCUACCAAGGCGACGACGGGUAGCCGGCCUGAGAGGGUGUCCGGCCACACUGGGACUGAGAUACGGCCCAGACUCCUACGGGAGGCAGCAGUGGGGAAUAUUGCACAAUGGGCGCAAGCCUGAUGCAGCGACGCCGCGUGAGGGAUGACGGCCUCGGUUGUAACUCUUCAUAGGGACGAAGCGCAAGUGACGGUACCGUAUAGAAGAAGCACCGGCCAACUAACGUG